Molecule: long non-coding RNA, 627 nt
Organism: Rosa chinensis
Lineage: Eukaryota; Viridiplantae; Streptophyta; Magnoliopsida; Rosales; Rosaceae
Exons: 3
Source: RefSeq, a predicted model, not a curated record
CCAAAACUAUUGAUAUUGGCACCUGUGAUCAAUCAGUUCCAAAGGCAUAUCCAGAUAAGGGUAUUGUUAUUUGACUUGAUUCCCUCUGUAAUUAAUUAAACUGUAGAUUAAUGAUGGCGCCCACAUUUUCUACGGUUCCUAACUUAAUGUUUUGUUGGUGCCUUUGGUUGAUGGGCAAUGUGCUAUAUUCUUUGUCCUGCCAAAUGAGGAGACAAAUGGCUACUCGGCACAAUAUUCGUCAACUGGUUUUACUGAUAUGGGGAACACAGCUAAUGAAGGGAUGGAGUGAGUGAGUCAUAGUUCAUCCAAGCCUUGAAUGUAGAAUUGGAUUAGAUUAUUGAGCUUUUAACAAAAUCUUUCCAGGCUGGUGGUUCUCCUGACAAUGUUCCACUUGAGGUUGGAUGAUGAAAAUGAAGGGUGUUUGAUAUAUUAACAGAGAGCAUCCUUUUGGCUGCACCAGCACAGGUUUCUUCUAUUCCAUUUUCAUUAGACUAUGUUCACUGUUCACAUUCAUGAUGUGAUCUGUUCAUAUACUUGUUGAACUGUUUUGGUUGCUUUUCUACUUUGAUUUCUGGGCUUUUGGCCUUCAUGAAGCCGAAGCAAUGUUAAUGUGACAUUUUACUAUAU